This is a long non-coding RNA of Chenopodium quinoa (quinoa), 1966 nucleotides long. RefSeq lists it as uncharacterized. The record is from RefSeq and is a predicted model, not a curated record. NCBI's taxonomy places the organism in Eukaryota, Viridiplantae, Streptophyta, Magnoliopsida, Caryophyllales, Amaranthaceae. The transcript has 2 exons.
AGAAGUUUUUCAGGCGAUAAAGCAUAUUCAUGAUGGGCAUUGAGUAAAGAGCGAAUCAUGCUAGUUUCUAUUAGUUUAUUAUGUGUUAUUGUUUUCAUUAUUCUAUUAUGCUAUGUUUGUGAGACUGACACAGAGGUUUUGAAUUUGGUUUGGUUUUGUUAAGGGCCUACAAUGGUUCCAAGUUGUAGGUUUGACUUUGUUUUACUUUGGUUGACUUUUUAAGUUGAGUCGUUUUAAAUAUUUUAAAGGAGAGUCUUCCGUUGUGUGUCUUUAAUAGUUGCCCUAGCCGUUUUCACAGUGACGGUAAUAUCUUAGAUUUUCCUAUUUAAAGUUUUAAACAGGGUAAAACAAGUAUUUUAAAAGAAAGGAAUUUCUAGGGUGUUACAGGGGUGACUCAAGAAAUUAAUGUGAAGAGGGUCCUAAAAAAAAAAUCAAGCCUAAUGUCAAUCGUAAGAAACUUAGGGAUAAUGUUAAUGUAGCAAUGGAGGAUGCCUUGGGUUACAAUGAGUGAAGAUUCCAAGAAAAAGCUUGAGCUUAUCGAGAGAAAAUUUAAUGACAAUGAUGAAGGUGGGCAUCAGUCCAAGAAGGAUCAUGAUUUGCUCAUGGAAUGUGUAGAUGCAGUAAGUGCUCUUAAGGAAAUUGAUGGAGCUUUAUUUGCAAAGGCAGCUAAACUAAUACAUGCAUGAUGAUCCAUUGUGAUGUUUCUUAGAUUUCCAAAUGAUAGGAAGAUAAAAUUUGUGCUCAACCUUUAAGCAUUAUCUCGUUUUUCCCCUUAAAUAUGCAUGUUUGAGUAUUUAAACUCAAUUUAGAUCUUAUCAUAAGUAUACUUUUUUUUGGAUUUUGUAUCUGGAUAUGAUUUAAUAUGAAUAAUAAUGGUGAUUGUGGUUGAAUUUUUUUUAUUUUUUUAUUUUUUUUAUCAUGUGCACUGAUAAUAUUCUUUAUGCUUGCUUAUAACAUUUAUAUGUAAAAAUUUCAGAUAUUUAUGGAUUUCGACAUUGAAGAUAUUUUAUCGGGUUUUGACAAGGAAUAUUUUUAACAAAAAUAUUGACAAUUUAUAUUAACUUACAAAAUAGCAGGUUCCUUAAAAAGAAACCCCGUUUGCAAAGAAUUUCAAAGUUAACUGGCUACCAAUAUGUCCUAGAACUGUUUAACGGUCAUCUAAUGACAUGUUAUGAUUUGAUUCAAGUGACUCCAUAGAUCUUUAUUAGCUUGUGUGAAGAAUUGAAAAAAAGGGAAAAGUUGAAAGAUUCCAAAAUUUAUAUAGAUUCAAGAACUUGUUGCAAUGUUUCUUCUUAUUAUUUAUCAUAAUUCAAGGCACAAACUAAUAGCUGAUAGAUUUCAACACUCCUUAGAAUCUACUCACCGCCAUUUUCGUAAGGUUUUGUAUGACGUUGCAUCAUUGUUGAAGCAUUGGAUUGUUCCUCCGACAUUUGAUGAAACAUCUCUAGAAACUAAAAAUAACCCAAGAUACUAUCCAAUUUUCAAGAAUUGCAUAGGAGCUAUUGAUGGAACUCAUGUAUCAGCACGUGUGCAACAAGAUGAUCAAAUUCUUUAUCAUGGAAAAGAAAAAAAGCCUACGAUGAAUGUAAUGUGUGCUUGCUCAUUUGACAUGAAAUUUUACAUUUGUGAUGGCUGGAUCUGUUAUCUAAAUUAUUGACUUAUUUGAACGCAUAAUACUAAGUGAUUACAAUCUAUGCAUGCAAGGGAGGUAAUUUCCUUAAAGAUUUAGAUAAUACUAAGUGAUUACAAUCUAUGCAUAGAUUGUAAUCACUUAGUAUUAUGUGUUGAAAUAAGUCAAUAAUUUAGAUAAUAAAUAAUUGACUUAUUGAAACCUAUUAAAUAGUGAUUAUCUAAUAGAUCACAUUUUUGAACUCACCAUGUAAUUUCUAUUAAUACAUUCUUAAAGGAUACAUCAAAGUUACAAUGAUCUAUAUGAAUACAUCAUGAACUUAUUUUCCUUUUGACA